CGGUAAGAGCGGCGGACGGGUGAGUAACGCGUGGGUAACCUACCCUGUACACACGGAUAACAUACCGAAAGGUAUGCUAAUACGGGAUAAUAUAUUUGAGAGGCAUCUCUUGAAUAUCAAAGGUGAGCCAGUACAGGAUGGACCCGCGUCUGAUUAGCUAGUUGGUAAGGUAACGGCUUACCAAGGCGACGAUCAGUAGCCGACCUGAGUGGGUGAUCGGCCACAUUGGAACUGAGACACGGUCCAAACUCCUACGGGAGGCAGCAGUGGGGAAUAUUGCACAAUGGGCGAAAGCCUGAUGCAGCAACGCCGCGUGAGUGAUGAAGGCCUUCGGGUCGUAAAACUCUGUCCUCAAGGAAGAUAAUGACGGUACUUGAGGAGGAAGCCCCGGCUAACUACGUGCCAGCAGCCGCGGUAAUACGUAGGGGGCUAGCGUUAUCCGGAUUUACUGGGCGUAAAGGGUGCGUAGGCGGUCUUUCAAGUCAGGAGUGAAAGGCUACGGCUCAACCGUAGUAAGCUCUUGAAACUGGG
Molecule: ribosomal RNA, 531 nt
Filed under: uncultured bacterium
Lineage: Bacteria
Description: bacterial SSU rRNA
Rfam family: Bacterial small subunit ribosomal RNA
Source: RNAcentral